AAAUUGAAGAGUUUGAUCAUGGCUCAGAUUGAACGCUGGCGGCAGGCCUAACACAUGCAAGUCGAGCGGAAACGAGUUAUCUGAACCUUCGGGGAACGAUAACGGCGUCGAGCGGCGGACGGGUGAGUAAUGCCUAGGAAAUUGCCCUGAUGUGGGGGAUAACCAUUGGAAACGAUGGCUAAUACCGCAUAACGCCUACGGGCCAAAGAGGGGGACCUUCGGGCCUCUCGCGUCAGGAUAUGCCUAGGUGGGAUUAGCUAGUUGGUGAGGUAAGGGCUCACCAAGGCGACGAUCCCUAGCUGGUCUGAGAGGAUGAUCAGCCACACUGGAACUGAGACACGGUCCAGACUCCUACGGGAGGCAGCAGUGGGGAAUAUUGCACAAUGGGCGCAAGCCUGAUGCAGCCAUGCCGCGUGUGUGAAGAAGGCCUUCGGGUUGUAAAGCACUUUCAGUCGUGAGGAAGGUAGUGUAGUUAAUAGCUGCAUUAUUUGACGUUAGCGACAGAAGAAGCACCGGCUAACUCCGUGCCAGCAGCCGCGGUAAUACGGAGGGUGCGAGCGUUAAUCGGAAUUACUGGGCGUAAAGCGCAUGCAGGUGGUUUGUUAAGUCAGAUGUGAAAGCCCGGGGCUCAACCUCGGAAUUGCAUUUGAAACUGGCAGACUAGAGUACUGUAGAGGGGGUAGAAUUUCAGGUGUAGCGGUGAAAUGCGUAGAGAUCUGAAGGAAUACCGGUGGCGAAGGCGGCCCCCUGGACAGAUACUGACACUCAGAUGCGAAAGCGUGGGGAGCAAACAGGAUUAGAUACCCUGGUAGUCCACGCCGUAAACGAUGUCUACUUGGAGGUUGUGGCCUUGAGCCGUGGCUUUCGGAGCUAACGCGUUAAGUAGACCGCCUGGGGAGUACGGUCGCAAGAUUAAAACUCAAAUGAAUUGACGGGGGCCCGCACAAGCGGUGGAGCAUGUGGUUUAAUUCGAUGCAACGCGAAGAACCUUACCUACUCUUGACAUCCAGAGAACUUUCCAGAGAUGGAUUGGUGCCUUCGGGAACUCUGAGACAGGUGCUGCAUGGCUGUCGUCAGCUCGUGUUGUGAAAUGUUGGGUUAAGUCCCGCAACGAGCGCAACCCUUAUCCUUGUUUGCCAGCGAGUAAUGUCGGGAACUCCAGGGAGACUGCCGGUGAUAAACCGGAGGAAGGUGGGGACGACGUCAAGUCAUCAUGGCCCUUACGAGUAGGGCUACACACGUGCUACAAUGGCGCAUACAGAGGGCAGCCAACUUGCGAAAGUGAGCGAAUCCCAAAAAGUGCGUCGUAGUCCGGAUCGGAGUCUGCAACUCGACUCCGUGAAGUCGGAAUCGCUAGUAAUCGUGGAUCAGAAUGCCACGGUGAAUACGUUCCCGGGCCUUGUACACACCGCCCGUCACACCAUGGGAGUGGGCUGCAAAAGAAGUAGGUAGUUUAACCUUCGGGAGGACGCUUACCACUUUGUGGUUCAUGACUGGGGUGAAGUCGUAACAAGGUAGCGCUAGGGGAACCUGGCGCUGGAUCACCUCCUUAUACGAUGAU
Molecule: ribosomal RNA, 1561 nt
Filed under: Vibrio campbellii
Lineage: Bacteria; Pseudomonadati; Pseudomonadota; Gammaproteobacteria; Vibrionales; Vibrionaceae
Description: bacterial SSU rRNA
Rfam family: Bacterial small subunit ribosomal RNA
Source: RNAcentral